AUGAAUUUGCUCGAGAGCUUCGGCGACGCUACGAGCCUGAAGAUAAACAACGUCAAGUCAACGGCAACUCCGAUUUGCUGUCAAGACAUUGAUCUCAGCACGGUACUCCAGUCUUUUGGGGGACCGAUCAUGCAAUUCCCGAUCAGAUACCUAGGGCUUCCACUCACAAUUGGCCGGCUUAGGCUAGUACAUCUUCAGUUCAUCCUAGAUAGAAUUCGGGCUAGAUUAGCAGGCUGGAAAGGAAAAAUGCUCUCCAUGGCCGGGCGCAGGGUGCUC
This 276-nucleotide ribosomal RNA is filed under the name Triticum aestivum (bread wheat). RNAcentral's name for it is "partial small subunit ribosomal RNA". The record is from RNAcentral. Lineage: Eukaryota; Viridiplantae; Streptophyta; Magnoliopsida; Poales; Poaceae.